RNAcentral lists this ribosomal RNA (253 nucleotides) under uncultured bacterium. Its description in RNAcentral is "partial 16S ribosomal RNA". It matches the Rfam family "Bacterial small subunit ribosomal RNA", at positions 524 to 776 of the family's 1533-position model. The record is from RNAcentral.
GACGGAGGAUGCAAGCGUUAUCCGGAAUGAUUGGGCGUAAAGCGUCCGCAGGUGGCAGUUCAAGUCUGCUGUCAAAGACCGGGGCUUAACUUCGGAAAGGCAGUGGAAACUGAACAGCUAGAGUAUGGUAGGGGCAGAGGGAAUUCCUGGUGUAGCGGUGAAAUGCGUAGAGAUCAGGAAGAACACCGGUGGCGAAGGCGGAUCUCUGGGCCAUUACUGACGCUGAGGAGCGAAAGCGUGGGGAGCGAACAGG